This 657-nucleotide long non-coding RNA is filed under the name Homo sapiens (human). RNAcentral's name for it is "MIR663A host gene". The record is from RNAcentral. Lineage: Eukaryota; Metazoa; Chordata; Mammalia; Primates; Hominidae.
GAAGAGCUGAAGAUUUCAAACAAAAGAAACUGAUGCAGGAGGGUGCAGCUUUGGAGUCAAGAAUGAAGUUCUAGGAGAUAGAGAGCAAAGAAAUGGUGGGAGAGGAGGUCAAAAAAUACUAGGCUUUAGAAUUUCACCAUAUGAAUUUUGGGAGAGAGGAGCACAGUUCAGCCCAUAACUAACACACGACGGAAUGAAGUUGAUAAUAGUGAGACCUUGUUGGUACAAGACUAUGUAACAUAACCUGCGCUUCUCAACAAAGAAUUGCUUUUCUGACUUCUGCACUCAAUAGCAAGACAAAUCUCUCCUCUGCCUUCUCCUUAUCAGACUACUCAACAUGAAGGCAAUAAGAAUGAAGACCUCUAUGUAUAAUAAUUGACUUCCACUUAAUAAAUAUCCCCACUUUUGUUCCUAGAGCAACACGCUGUCCUGGAUAGCUAACGUGUUUAUGAAUGCAAGGAAAUUUUCAAAAAGGGAGUUUGAAAUUUAACUCCACAAACUACUAUCUGGAUUGGAAUGCUACAUUAAAUGUAUUAUAAUUUUGUAUGGACAUAUAAGGAUGGGGAAUGAAAAGCAUCCAAGGCCAUAUGUUGAUAAUCUUUUGAUAUGUUAAGAAAUAAUCUAGUGUUAUUUUCUAUUUCUUCUCAAAUGUUUUUA